This 331-nucleotide ribosomal RNA is filed under the name uncultured bacterium. RNAcentral's name for it is "partial 16S ribosomal RNA". It matches the Rfam family "Bacterial small subunit ribosomal RNA", at positions 338 to 686 of the family's 1533-position model. The record is from RNAcentral.
CCUACGGGUGGCUGCAGUAGGGAAUAUUGCUCAAUGGGGGAAACCCUGAAGCAGCAACGCCGCGUGGAGGAUGAAGGUUUUCGGAUUGUAAACUCCUUUUGUUAGAGAAGAUAAUGACGGUAUCUAACGAAUAAGCACCGGCUAACUCCGUGCCAGCAGCCGCGGUAAUACGGAGGGUGCAAGCGUUACUCGGAAUCACUGGGCGUAAAGAGCGCGUAGGCGGGAUAGCAAGUCAGAUGUGGAAUCCUAUGGCUUAACCAUAGAACUGCAUUUGAAAAUGUGUUUCUAGAGGAUGGGAGAGGUAAGUGGAAUUUGUGGGUGAAGGGGAAAA